GAUGAACGCUGGCGGCGUGCCUAAUACAUGCAAGUCGAGCGAACAGAUGAGGAGCUUGCUCCUCCGACGUUAGCGGCGGACGGGUGAGUAACACGUGGAUAACCUACCUAUAAGACUGGGAUAACUUCGGGAAACCGGAGCUAAUACCGGAUAAUAUAUUGAACCGCAUGGUUCAAUAGUGAAAGACGGUUUUGCCGUCACUUAUAGAUGGAUCCGCGCCGCAUUAGCUAGUUGGUAAGGUAACGGCUUACCAAGGCAACGAUGCGUAGCCGACCUGAGAGGGUGAUCGGCCACACUGGAACUGAGACACGGUCCAGACUCCUCCGGGAGGCAGCAGUAGGGAAUCUUCCGCAAUGGGCGAAAGCCUGACGGAGCAACGCCGCGUGAGUGAUGAAGGUCUUCGGAUCGUAAAACUCUGUUAUUAGGGAAGAACAAAUGUGUAAGUAACUAUGCACGUCUUGACGGUACCUAAUCAGAAAGCCACGGCUAACUACGUG
RNAcentral lists this ribosomal RNA (497 nucleotides) under uncultured bacterium. Its description in RNAcentral is "partial 16S ribosomal RNA". It matches the Rfam family "Bacterial small subunit ribosomal RNA", at positions 28 to 507 of the family's 1533-position model. The record is from RNAcentral.